CCUACGGGUGGCAGCAGUGGGGAAUAUUGCGCAAUGGGGGAAACCCUGACGCAGCAACGCCGCGUGAGUGAAGACGUAUCUCGGUAUGUAAAGCCCUAUCAGCGGGGAAGAAGGAAGACGGUACCCGACUAAGAAGCCCCGUCUAACUACGUGCCAGCAGCCGUGGUAAUACGUAGGGGGCGAGCGUUAACCGGAUUUACUGGGUGUAAAGGGAGCGUAGACGGCGUCGCAAGUCUGAAGUGAAAGCCCGUGGCUCAACCGCGGACCCGCUGUGGAAACUGGGAGGCUGGAGUGCUGGAGAGGUAAGCGGAAUGCGUGGUGUAGCGGUGAAAUGCGUAGAUAUCGGGAGGAACACCGGUUGCGAAGGCGGCUUACUGGACAGUGACUGACGUUGAGGCUCGAAAGCGUGGGGAGCGAACAGGAUUAGAUACCCGUGUAGUC
Molecule: ribosomal RNA, 441 nt
Filed under: uncultured bacterium
Lineage: Bacteria
Description: partial 16S ribosomal RNA
Rfam family: Bacterial small subunit ribosomal RNA
Source: RNAcentral